UACGAAGGGUGCAAGCGUUACUCGGAAUUACUGGGCGUAAAGCGCGUGUAGGUGGAUUGGUGUGUCAGAUGUGAAAGCCCUGGGCUCAACCCAGGAACUGCACCUGAAACUACCAGUCUUGAGUGGUGGAGAGGGAAGUGGAAUUCCUGGUGUAGAGGUGAAAUUCGUAGAUAUCAGGAGGAACACCAGUGGCGAAGGCGGCUUCCUGGACACUAACUGACGCUGAGACGCGAAAGCGUGGGGAGCAAACAGG
RNAcentral lists this ribosomal RNA (253 nucleotides) under uncultured bacterium. RNAcentral's name for it is "partial 16S ribosomal RNA". It matches the Rfam family "Bacterial small subunit ribosomal RNA", at positions 524 to 776 of the family's 1533-position model. The record is from RNAcentral.